RNAcentral lists this ribosomal RNA (521 nucleotides) under uncultured Bacteroidota bacterium. RNAcentral describes it as "bacterial SSU rRNA". It matches the Rfam family "Bacterial small subunit ribosomal RNA", at positions 68 to 588 of the family's 1533-position model. The record is from RNAcentral. Lineage: Bacteria; Pseudomonadati; Bacteroidota.
AGCAUAGGACUUCGGUUCUGAUGGCGACCGGCGCACGGGUGAGUAACGCGUACACUACCUACCUUUAACAGAGGGAUAGCCCUGGGAAACUGGGAUUAAUACCACAUAGUAUUGCAUAUUUUAUUUUUAUGCAAUUAAAGCUCCGGCGGUUAAAGAUGGGUGUGCGUUAGAUUAGCUAGUUGGUAAGGUAAUGGCUUACCAAGGCUACGAUCUAUAGGGGGCGUGAGAGCGUGGACCCCCACACGGGUACUGAGACACGGACCCGACUCCUACGGGAGGCAGCAGUAAGGAAUAUUGGACAAUGGGCGCAAGCCUGAUCCAGCCAUCCCGCGUGAAGGAUGACGGCCCUAUGGGUUGUAAACUUCUUUUAUUAGGGAAGAAACCUUUUCAUUUAUGAAGAGCUGACGGUACCUAAAGAAUAAGCACCGGCUAACUCCGUGCCAGCAGCCGCGGUAAUACGGAGGGUGCAAGCGUUAUCCGGAAUCACUGGGUUUAAAGGGUGCGUAGGCGGAUAAAUAAGU